UUCCUCUCCCCUCCUCUCGUUCUCCCUCUCACAGUCCCUCCUCAUUCUCCCCUCUCUCUCUCUUGGAGGUAAACCCCCCUCCCCUAUCUCCCCAUCUCAGCCUUAUGACAUGCAAACACAUGUUGUUCUCUGCUGGGUUUUCUUCUGUCGGCUGAAGGGACCAGUGGCAGUAUCACAGGGCUCAUAGUGGACACUGGGAUGCUGGGGUCUGGGUUCUGGGUUCUGGAGUCUGGGGUCUGGGGUCUGGACAGUUCAUCUUUCCCUCCUCAACAACCUCUCCUGCACAGUGUCUCAGACACAGGAAACAUUGGCCAGAACUGACCACCGAGGCUUCAUGAUAGGAUCUCCAACCCGUUACCAUGGCGAUGUGUGAAAGACCAGUAGACACUCUUCCAGUCAGUCAUCAACCCCCUCACAGACACGGACAGACUCUGGACACAGUGACCGUUCUACUGGAGGAUAUACAGGGUCACCGUGAGGUUGAAGGUCAGGGUCAGGGGGUUGAGGUUACCUCUGUAGUGCAGUGUUGUGAUGGCCUGAGCCCCAUGUCCACACCACCUCCCCUGGGGGAAUCAGGAGACCCAGAGCCCAUGAACAGUGGAUCUACUCAGGCUCAAACCACAACGAACAGAGAUCUAGAUGAGGUGGACAUGGACCAUACGCAUCCCUGUGAAGCAGAUCCCAUAGAGAGUGGACUGACCCUGGAUCAGACGUGGGACAUGUACGAGGUGGACCAAACCUCCACGAUGAGCUGUGAUACUGAGGUGGAGCUUGGGACGGGGACUGAGACUACUCCACACAUACAGGUGUGUCCUACAGAGUCUGGUCUGGUCACAGAGGUGAAUGGACGCUCUGGGAAACAACAUGGUAGAGAGCCUGUAGAGGAGAGGGAGAGGCCUAAGGAGACCCCUUCUCCACCCUCCUCUCCAGUCUCCUCUCUGCCCCUCUCUCCUGGCCAGACUCUGGGACAUGUUGCCCUUGAUACCCCCCAGGAAAGGUGUCUAGAUGCCCCAGGGCCAGGCAAGGGUAGUUCCAUGGACCUGUUCUGUAUCGUAAAACACAAACCCAGCGCUAUCGUGUUCUCUGGAGACGACAACAUCGACAACGUCAGCCCAACUAGAGUCUUCG
Molecule: long non-coding RNA, 1128 nt
Organism: Oncorhynchus tshawytscha (Chinook salmon)
Lineage: Eukaryota; Metazoa; Chordata; Actinopteri; Salmoniformes; Salmonidae
Source: Ensembl